CGAGCACGCGCGUGUGGCAUAUCAAUAAGCGGAGGAAAAGAAACUAACAAGGAUUCCCUUAGUAACGGCGAGUGAAGCGGGAAGAGCUCAAAUUUGAAAUCUUCAAGGUUCUACCUUGACGAAUUGUAGUUUAUAGAAGCGUUUUCUGUUAGUGGAGUGGCAAAAGUUCUUUGGAAUAGGACAUCAUAGAGGGUGAGAAUCCCGUAUUUGGUCAUUCCUCCUAGCGUCGUGAUACACUUUCAACGAGUCGGAUUGUUUGGGAAUGCAGUCCAAAAUGGGUGGUAAAUUUCAUCUAAAGCUAAAUAUUGGCGAGAGACCGAUAGCGAACAAGUACCGUGAGGGAAAGAUGAAAAGAACUUUGAAAAGAGAGUUAAACAGUACGUGAAAUUGUCAAAAGGGAAGCGUUUGACACCAGUGUUGUUUUUCCGAAAAUCAAUUACGAAUGUUUUAUUUUUGAGGAGUUAUGACUUCAUCGGCUUGCUUCUUUCUUUAUGAAACUUUCUUAAUGCACUUUUCGGUUGACAAGUCAACAUCAAUUUCUUUUGUUGUAGAAGGGUAUGAGGAAGGUGGCUUUCUUUUCGGAGAAAGUGUUUAUAGCCUUGUGCCUCUGCAAUCGGAGAGAUUGAGGGUCUGCAGCGUAGAUCCUUCGGGGUUAGAUACGUUUGUGCUAAGUUAUAGCUUUUCAUAGACAACCUGUUGACUAUGAUUUAAUCAUUGUAGCUUACUCGCUUACUGCUAUUUUACCUACGCUUAGGAUGUUGAACUCUAUCACACACAG
Molecule: ribosomal RNA, 778 nt
Filed under: uncultured Neocallimastigales
Lineage: Eukaryota; Fungi; Neocallimastigomycota; Neocallimastigomycetes; Neocallimastigales
Description: partial large subunit ribosomal RNA
Rfam family: Eukaryotic large subunit ribosomal RNA
Source: RNAcentral